This 1369-nucleotide ribosomal RNA is filed under the name uncultured bacterium. Its description in RNAcentral is "bacterial SSU rRNA". It matches the Rfam family "Bacterial small subunit ribosomal RNA", at positions 28 to 1381 of the family's 1533-position model. The record is from RNAcentral.
GACGAACGCUGGCGGCGUGCCUAAUACAUGCAAGUAGAACGCUGAAGAGAGGAGCUUGCUCUUCUUGGAUGAGUUGCGAACGGGUGAGUAACGCGUAGGUAACCUGCCUUGUAGCGGGGGAUAACUAUUGGAAACGAUAGCUAAUACCGCAUAACAAUGGAUGACACAUGUCAUUUAUUUGAAAGGGGCAAUUGCUCCACUACAAGAUGGACCUGCGUUGUAUUAGCUAGUAGGUGAGGUAACGGCUCACCUAGGCGACGAUACAUAGCCGACCUGAGAGGGUGAUCGGCCACACUGGGACUGAGACACGGCCCAGACUCCUACGGGAGGCAGCAGUAGGGAAUCUUCGGCAAUGGGGGCAACCCUGACCGAGCAACGCCGCGUGAGUGAAGAAGGUUUUCGGAUCGUAAAGCUCUGUUGUAAGUCAAGAACGAGUGUGAGAGUGGAAAAUUCACACUGUGACGGUAGCUUACCAGAAAGGGACGGCUAACUACGUGCCAGCAGCCGCGGUAAUACGUAGGUCCCGAGCGUUGUCCGGAUUUAUUGGGCGUAAAGCGAGCGCAGGCGGUUUGAUAAGUCUGAAGUUAAAGGCUGUGGCUCAACCAUAGUUCGCUUUGGAAACUGUCAAACUUGAGUGCAGAAGGGGAGAGUGGAAUUCCAUGUGUAGCGGUGAAAUGCGUAGAUAUAUGGAGGAACACCGGUGGCGAAAGCGGCUCUCUGGUCUGUAACUGACGCUGAGGCUCGAAAGCGUGGGGAGCGAACAGGAUUAGAUACCCUGGUAGUCCACGCCGUAAACGAUGAGUGCUAGGUGUUGGAUCCUUUCCGGGAUUCAGUGCCGCAGCUAACGCAUUAAGCACUCCGCCUGGGGAGUACGACCGCAAGGUUGAAACUCAAAGGAAUUGACGGGGGCCCGCACAAGCGGUGGAGCAUGUGGUUUAAUUCGAAGCAACGCGAAGAACCUUACCAGGCCUUGACAUCCCGAUGCUAUUUCUAGAGAUAGAAAGUUACUUCGGUACAUCGGUGACAGGUGGUGCAUGGUUGUCGUCAGCUCGUGUCGUGAGAUGUUGGGUUAAGUCCCGCAACGAGCGCAACCCCUAUUGUUAGUUGCCAUCAUUCAGUUGGGCACUCUAGCGAGACUGCCGGUAAUAAACCGGAGGAAGGUGGGGAUGACGUCAAAUCAUCAUGCCCCUUAUGACCUGGGCUACACACGUGCUACAAUGGUUGGUACAACGAGUUGCGAGUCGGUGACGGCAAGCUAAUCUCUUAAAGCCAAUCUCAGUUCGGAUUGUAGGCUGCAACUCGCCUACAUGAAGUCGGAAUCGCUAGUAAUCGCGGAUCAGCACGCCGCGGUGAAUACGUUCCCGGGCCU